Molecule: ribosomal RNA, 649 nt
Filed under: uncultured Lachnospiraceae bacterium
Lineage: Bacteria; Bacillati; Bacillota; Clostridia; Lachnospirales; Lachnospiraceae
Description: bacterial SSU rRNA
Rfam family: Bacterial small subunit ribosomal RNA
Source: RNAcentral
GAUUUUCUUCGGAACUGAAGAUUUGGUGAUUGAGUGGCGGACGGGUGAGUAACGCGUGGGUAACCUGCCCUGUACAGGGGGACAACAGUCAGAAAUGACUGCUAAUACCGCAUAAGACCACAGCACCGCAUGGUGCAGGGGUAAAAACUCCGGUGGUACAGGAUGGACCCGCGUCUGAUUAGCUGGUUGGUGAGGUAACGGCUCGCCAAGGCGACGAUCAGUAGCCGGCUUGAGAGAGUGAACGGCCACAUUGGGACUGAGACACGGCCCAAACUCCUACGGGAGGCAGCAGUGGGGAAUAUUGCACAAUGGGGGGAACCCUGAUGCAGCGACGCCGCGUGAGUGAAGAAGUAUCUCGGUAUGUAAAGCUCUAUCAGCAGGGAAGAAAAUGACGGUACCUGACUAAGAAGCCCCGGCUAACUACGUGCCAGCAGCCGCGGUAAUACGUAGGGGGCAAGCGUUAUCCGGAAUUACUGGGUGUAAAGGGUGCGUAGGUGGUAUGGCAAGUCAGAAGUGAAAACCCAGGGCUUAACUCUGGGACUGCUUUUGAAACUGUCAGACUGGAGUGCAGGAGAGGUAAGCGGAAUUCCUAGUGUAGCGGUGAAAUGCGUAGAUAUUAGGAGGAACAUCAGUGGCGAAGGCGGCUUAC